UUGUAAUGAAAUCGAAAUAUUGUUGCCUCAAAAGCGGCUAGGGAGGCAGCGAUUGUCUUUCUUUUGCUGUUUCUUGUGAUUUAGCCAUGUCUGAUCCUUUGUAGCGUCACUUUUUUAUUGAGAAGAAGAGAACAAAUCAGGAAUAUAUAUUUUGCAUUGGUGCUUUUUUCUAAUGAUGGAGUGGGAUCACUCGAAGAUUAUUCAGAAAAGGAAGUUUUGUGUCAAAUUGGCUGCACUCUGUCAUAUAUUACGUGUAAAAAGACAUACAGAUGGCCAAAAACUUUGUUUAUUGAUGUUUUGAUUUUCAUUCGUGCGGUAGGAUUUAGGUCAUGGCCCUUUUUCUCAUGUUUUUGAUCAUCAAAUGAAAAGAAAAUUAAUGGCGUGGCACAUGC
Xenia sp. Carnegie-2017 is the source of this 392-nucleotide long non-coding RNA. RefSeq lists it as uncharacterized. The transcript is spliced from 3 exons. The record is from RefSeq and is a predicted model, not a curated record. Lineage: Eukaryota; Metazoa; Cnidaria; Anthozoa; Malacalcyonacea; Xeniidae.